This 113-nucleotide transfer RNA is filed under the name Nanobdellota archaeon. RNAcentral describes it as "tRNA-Ser". The record is from RNAcentral. Lineage: Archaea; Nanobdellati; Nanobdellota.
GCCAAUGUCGCAUAACCCGGUAUUGCGCUGGUCUUGAAAACCAGUCCCUUCUGGGAUUCCCGGUUCAAAUGAUAUUGAGAGAGAUCUCAGGUCUGAUUGUCCGGGCAUUGGCG